This 558-nucleotide ribosomal RNA is filed under the name Triticum aestivum (bread wheat). RNAcentral's name for it is "partial small subunit ribosomal RNA". The record is from RNAcentral. Lineage: Eukaryota; Viridiplantae; Streptophyta; Magnoliopsida; Poales; Poaceae.
AUGGUCAACCUCGGAGCUAGUAGUGCGAAGAGAGAUUUAGGGUUGCGCGUGUGGCCGCACGCAACCAGACGAUCCGUCCGGAUCGAUUCCCGCUGCGCUGUUCUACAAAGUCGCCAAGACCAACAGGAAGAUUCCCUUUGCACCGUUGCAGGAAUCCACCGAAGGCGUCCCGUUUUCCGGAUCGGAAGUAAACGUCGCUGCAGCCGUGCACGGACAAUCAAGAAAAUACGGCCACUUCUUGCCAUCUACGGACAAAUAUGCAAGACCCCAAUUACUGCUGCUACUGAUACAUGUCAAAUCAGAAAGCUCUCCCAAAAGGAAUCAUCCAUAGUUUGCGACGUGCAGACCGGGUCAAAUCCAAGGAAACAACAUAUACUACUUCAACUAGCAUUGCAGGCGCACAAACUGACUAGGAUGGUACAUUGGAUAAUUUUGGACGGGCAGAGUCCAGGUAACGUUUCCAUCGAUUGGAUUAAAAAAAAAAGAAGGCCACGACUUGGAGGAAGACACAUCUGUUGUCCGGGCGAAUCCGGUGACAUCCCUCUAAGUAUUUUUUAG